AGCCUUUGGGUCAUCCCUGGCUUGAAGGUGGGGUUUCACUGGGGACCCAGCUCUUCCCGCCCGGAAACCUCUUAGCUUCCCACCGCCAUCAAUAUACCGGCUGCGGUGCCCAGGCUGUCCACGCUAAGGGGUGCCCACAGGCCCAUGCCCAGCCACCCUCAGCCCCGCAGCCUCCCUCCCGUUCUCGUUAGUGCCCAGAGUCUGGAGGGGGCUGAGGCGGCUGGAGGCUGGUACGUCAGCAGCCCUAUAUCACGCACAUGCCUGUCUGGGUCGCAACAGUUCCCCGGGCUCAGCCACAACUUUGCUUCACACCAAAGCAAGCCCUGGGAGCAGGGAGAGGCCAAGGAACAGGAGCAAGCACUUCCUAGCCUGCAAGGUCAGGGUGUUUCCCUGGCCCCCAAGAGCACAGGGAUGCCCAGGUCCAGAGCCACAGCUGGGCCGCUGCAACUGCACCUGGGAGCAUGGUGGGAGCAUGGUGCUCGCGCCCCGCCAACUCUGUACGGUGCAGGGUUCUUGUCUGUUUCUGGCCCCGGCUGGCUCUGUGAAGCACGCAGGCCGGACUGCACCUCCCCCACUGCAGCUGGCGCUCUCGCAGUGGCCACUCCAGAGGGGCCACCACUGCCAUCAAAAGUUUGCUGUAUCACCCAGGCUGGAAUGCAGUGGUGCAAUUAAAGCUCACCAUGGCCUUGAACCCCUGAGAUCAACAGAUAUUCCUGACUUAGCCUCCCCAGUAGCUAGGACCACAGCAAUUUUAGUCUGAUCAAGAACCAUUGCUGGGGAACUAAUGCCGUUAUUUGAUGGGCCAAGGCACAGCUCAGCACUCUUGGGCUAAAUACUCUAACCCUGGAGGAUUGGAUCAGGCCCACAGCUUUGUUCUCUGGCUUCUUGAGGUUAAGCAUCUGCUAUGGUGGAAGGGCCAAGGUGUUCCUGUCUUCUGGCAAAAGCACUACAAUACGGGGUGACAGCAAAAGCACUUGAUCUGGGUGAUGGCAGUGGGAUCAGCAUGUGUGCAUUAGCAGCAGCAAGAUGGUCGUGGAAUCCACACAUGCACAUGCCAGAUAUAUAAUUUGUAAGCUAUAAAUGUACUUAACACCAGAGACCCAAAAUAUAUGAAGAAAAGACACAUAAUUGAAGAGAGAAAUGACAAUUAGAUAUAAUUCAAUACUCCACAUUCAAUAGUGAAUAGAAUAACUAGGCAGAUCAGUAACAAAAUAGAAUACGUGAAUAACACAACAAUAGUAUAACAUAAUGAAACCUACUAUACACAUAAAGAACACUCCACACAACAAACGAGAAUACACAUUAUUCUCAAGUGUAUGUGGAACUUUCUCCAGGAUAUACUGUAUGAUAGGUUAUAAAACAUACCUCAAGGGUUUUUUUUAAUGAUAUAAUACAAAAUGCUUUCUCAGACUACAAUGAAAGAAAGUUAGAAAGUGAUAAUAGGAGAAAAUUUUGGAAAUUCAUAAUUAUGUGGAAAUUUUUAAGAUAAUUGGUCAAAGAGGAAGUCACAAUGGAAGUCAGACAACACCUUGGAAAAAAUGAAUACAGAAUCACAACACACUAAAAUUUAGGGGAUGCAGCUAAAGCAGUGCUUAGAAGGAAAUGUAUUUGUAUCUGGCUAUCUUAAAGGAAAUAAAUAUUUCAAAUCAAUACUAUAAGUUUUCACCUUAUAAAAUUAGAAACAGUAGAGCUAACCACAUCCAGAAUAAAUGAAAGGAAACAGUGUACAUUAGAACAAAAAAUGAAAUAAAGAAUAGAAAAUUCAAUAAAGUUAUCAAUAAAACCAAAAGUUACUUCUUAGAAAAUAUAAACCUUCAAUUGACUGAUAAAGAUAAAAACACACAUAUUUGAACAAAUAGAAUAACUUGAUUGCAGAUAUAUGUAUCGCUGUAUCUUUGAUGGUAAGUUGAGGUAGUAUAUAUCUGAUCACUCUGGAUAUCUGUGUAAAAUAAAAUGCUAGGUAGA
Molecule: long non-coding RNA, 1965 nt
Filed under: Pongo abelii (Sumatran orangutan)
Lineage: Eukaryota; Metazoa; Chordata; Mammalia; Primates; Hominidae
Description: lincRNA
Source: RNAcentral